Pseudoliparis swirei is the source of this 459-nucleotide long non-coding RNA. RefSeq lists it as uncharacterized. The transcript is spliced from 3 exons. The record is from RefSeq and is a predicted model, not a curated record. NCBI's taxonomy places the organism in Eukaryota, Metazoa, Chordata, Actinopteri, Perciformes, Liparidae.
UCUAAACCUAGGGGCACAAAAGGUUUACAAUGUGCAAGCUAUCUCCAAGUGGUCAGCAAGGAUCCGGGAUGUGAUCGUUUGGAUCAAAAGAUCCUCAAUGAUUAAGACCAUUUUCAAAGAGAAGCAGCGUCUCCUGGGCCUGCCUGACCAUUCUGUGGUCCUUGAUGUCAAAACCCGCUGGAAUUCUCUUUAUCUCAUGGUGGAGAGAUUUGUGGAGCAAUAUCCUGCAAUACAGGCAGCAUUCUUGGACCCGCGUGCCAAAAAAGCUCAUGAAGAGAGACAGACUUGAAGAGAUCACAGAUGAAGACUUCAGGAGGGCUGAGGACUUUGUCAGUCUGAUGCGCAUGCUGUAUACAAGUACCCUGUGUGUGUCAAGCGACAAGUCUUCUACAUGUGGCCAGAUAAUUCCCAUUCUGCAAAAACUGAAGACCCACUUAACUGUCAAAGAGGAGGAUUCCA